RNAcentral lists this ribosomal RNA (247 nucleotides) under uncultured bacterium. Its description in RNAcentral is "partial 16S ribosomal RNA". It matches the Rfam family "Bacterial small subunit ribosomal RNA", at positions 524 to 776 of the family's 1533-position model. The record is from RNAcentral.
GACAGGGGGGGCUAACGUUAUCCAACGUUACUGGGCGUAAAGGGUACGUAGACGACUUAUGUUUGGCUUUUAUUGAAAUUCUACAAUGUAGAAGUGAUACUAGCAUCGGUAAGCUCGAGUUUGCGUGAAGAUGAGGGAAUUCCUAGUGUAGAGGUACAAUUCGUUGAUAUUAGGAAGAAAAUUCAAGACGAAGGUGCUCAUCUCUAAAGACUGACGUUGAGGUACGAAGGUAUGGGGAUCGAUCGGG